AUGCAAUCAGCAGCCAUGGAGAGUUUGAUCCAAGUACUUAAUGAGUGGGAAAUACAGUUGCUAGUGCUCCUCAGUUUUACACUACAAGUGUUCCUCUUAUUUAUUGGUGGCCUUCGGCGACGUAGCACCAAUGCGUUGCUUAGGUUUUCUAUGUGGGUAGCAUACCUUGGGGCAGAUUUGGUAGCAAUAUAUGCUUUGGGGUUCCUCUCGCGGCACAAGGAUGACACCCAGGGAAAAGAUACAUUAAGGGAAGCACAUCCACUUGCUUUCCUCUGGGCACCUUUCCUCCUCAUGCAUCUUGGGGGACAGGACACUGUCACUGCAUUUGCCAUUGAGGACAAUAACUUGUGGUUAAGGCAUCUAUUGAAUCUGGUGGUCCAAGUCGGUGUGGCCUUGUAUGUCUUCUGGGCGGGUCAUCUCUACCAUAGUAUGCAUCUUCCAGGCAUAUUUGUGUUUAUUGCUGGAAUUAUCAAGUAUGGGGAGAGGACGUUGGCGCUUAUGUACGGGGAACUAAAGAAUGCUAGCCACAAUAGCAAUGAAAAUGAAAACAAUGAGGACUUGAAUAGGCUUGCGGAUCAAAGCUAUCUUGGCAUUUUUGCAUCUGCUUUGAAGUCAGCACCAAGUAUCCGAGAGAUCUUUGCUGGACACACCUUGCACCAGAUGGAACCUCACCACCGAGAUAUACUGACUUCCGGUAUUAAUAUGGAUCACUUGCCCAAGUUGCUGGAGGUUGAGCUAGACUUGAUGUAUGAUGACAUCUACACCAAGGCCAUGGUGCUUCGUACAAGGACUGGCAUUAUACUCCGGUGUGUAUCUCAAGUACUUAUGGGGGUUUCUUUUGUUCUCUUCAUUGUUGGAUUAGUCAAGAACAAGCACAUAUAUAGUAGAGCGGACAAUCACAUAUGCACUAUUCACAGGAGGUUUUUGUCUAGAAGUUUGUGCAGUAUUUGUAUUGUUGAUGUCACCAUGGACAUGGGCAUGGUUGGAGGUUCGAGGCUAUCGAGGGCUCGCUCGCAUCUCCUCCUUUCUUCUGUCCAGCAAGUUUGGACGGCCCAUGAGAAGACCGCUGUGGUCGAAUUCCAUGGGACAGUACAACUUUAUGUGCUACAUGGGUUGUGA
RNAcentral lists this ribosomal RNA (1119 nucleotides) under Triticum aestivum (bread wheat). RNAcentral describes it as "partial small subunit ribosomal RNA". The record is from RNAcentral. Lineage: Eukaryota; Viridiplantae; Streptophyta; Magnoliopsida; Poales; Poaceae.